AAUAAUAAUAAUAAUAAAAAUAAAAUAAUAAUAAUUAAAUAAUAAUUAAAUAAUAAUAAUAAUAAUAAUAUUAGUGUUUCGUAUUCGAUGGCUGUAUAGGCUAGUUAUCAUAUCUGAUCGAUAUAAUACUCAGAAACGUUUCGUUCGAGUGUUGGGAACAUGGAAACUAUGAAUGAUUCAACGGACGCACUGUGCUCGUCAUACGCACCAAUUUUAUUCUGUCCAAUUUCAAUCAGUUAAAAUCGUAUCGAUGUAUCGUGUAAUAUACCAGUAUGUUUUACGCGCGAAGAUAAGCCGCUGCUUGGGUUGGUCCGUUUCCAUGUGAGGAGUCUUAAUUGUCGGACAAGUAUUUUAAAACAGCGGUUGACAAAACGCUUUUUAACUCGCAUAUUUUGUAGAAAUAUGAAAUCACGAGCGUAUCGAUGCUUCGUCGUAGAAAAAGACUAAGGAAGCUAGUCUACCCAUAAAAGCUUAAUCCUAACUAAUGGAAUCAAUUCGGAAACAUGUUUGGAAGUCGAUAGAAGUAAAUUUGGCGGACCAUCCCUUGGCAGUUUCUUAGAAAUCGAAGUUUGAAAAUGGAGAGAUUAGACGAAAAUCUUGAAUAAUUACGCGAACGAAUAAUAUCUAAAUCGUUUUCUCUAUGAAAAUGUAAAACCUCUUUCUGGUUUUGCCUUCGUCGGUAUUUCGAAUGUACACGCGCGCGAGUCUCUUGUGCUUUCGUGUUUUCGAACUACCCGGUGCAACUUCUCUUUUCAGUUUCUCUGUUCCUUUCUUUCUUUCCUUUGAAUUAUCGUUAAUCUAAUCGCUCCAUUUAACGAUGCGAAACGAAACAAUUAUUUUGUAUGCGUGUUUUGUUUCUCGAGAAUCAUGUGUCAUGUGCCGAGGGAAAGAAGAAACCAUAGACACAGAGGGAAAGACCGAGCGCAGUGUUACGGGCCGGGACGCGUCGCUAUCGAAGGAUAGGAAAUCGCGUGACAGUGGGUGUAUCUGCAAGUUGUGGAUGAAAACCAGGCAAAAUAAUCAUAUACAUAUAUGCAUAUAUAAACUUGUAAAAAGUUAUACAAAAUAUGUAGCGUGUGAUUUUUCGAUUUCAUAUCUUUUUUUUUGUUUUCGUUUCUUUUCUAUCCACUAUGUCUCAAUAACCCUAACCCGUUCUGACGUCCAAGAGGAAUAUAGAAAUUCGAUUAAUUACACCGUUAUCGGUAGCUAAAAAUUUUAGACGGAUACGAGACAUUUUCCGUUAUCUUUUUUCUUUUCAUCGUACCUUUCGAUCUUUCGUUGAAGUUCUCGGCUAAAUGUACCAAUUGUUGCUCGCACCUUUUUCCGAAUAGUUUCACCAACUAUUUUCUGAUGCGUGAAUCAGACACGAUACAUAAAAUAGGAGAGAAACAACGCGAAGAAUAGAAAAAAGAACACAGAAUCGAAGUAUACCGAUUGCCUUAACGCGAAGUUGCCUGAUAAGCGGAAAGGAUUAAAGGUUCAUCCUUUUCUCGGAAUGCGCGUUUAAGCCGAAGAAAUCUUUUGCACUAGGUACCAUCGAUUAAGAAUAAAACAAACGAUACUGUAUACUUUGUCUAAAUUGAAUAAAUUUAUUGCUAUCAACGCGCAUGUCUCGAUGAAAUGUGCUAGUUAUUUUUUCAAAUUUUUACACGAAUUCGUGAGCGUACAACCUUAGAACGAAGCAAGACUCCACGCACGUUUAACAGAUUGUGUGUAAAAAAAAGAAGGGGGAAAAAAAACACAAAAAACGGGAAAUAUUGAUUUUUCUCGAUAUAAAGUUCAAAGGUAACCGCAGGCUUUUUCCUUUUUAAUUCCGUUUCUGUACUCGACACUGCAAGCUUACAUCUCCCUUGUUUCCACGUCACUUCGGAAGCUGUAAGAUCAUGGAUUUUGUACAUGCUCUGCGAUUAACGUUAUUUUUAUCAUUUUAGUCGUUAUUACGUACUACGGGACAGGGACGGCGCGAGGCAGGUUCAAAGCGUUGCUACGUUCCCUGGAAUUCGGCCUCGCGAUCCUCCUGAAAAUUUCAUCGUUCAUUUUGCGGGCCUCGAUACGUACUAUCAUGCGCGUAUGGGUACUUAUAAAAUUGACUAACUGUUCGAAUUUCAAUAAUUUCCAGUGUGAAACUCGAGUACAAAAUUUGCAGCGUUUCGAGAUCGAAUCGAUCCCUUCGAACCCGAAACAAUUUUCGAAACAGGCUCCGCAAAUAAUCGCGCCGACCCCGCCAUACGAUGUAACAAUAAUAAAUUUGCGAAAGGUAUCGAGGGACAAUGUACACGCCUGUUCGAAUAGUCGAAUGUUAUACUUUCAUUUUAAUUGUUUAUCUGGUUUUCGUCAUUUUCAUUCUAAAAUUUCAGCGUAAUCUUUAACAAAGGCUUUUUACAUUAUAUAUAAUAUAUAACAUGUAUUACGAUAUAUUUAUUGAUAAGAACGAAAGGGUGCCUCGGAGUAUCGUCGUAAGUUUCUCCUAUUCUUUCUUCGUUUUCUAUUUUGUAAAUUGCCUAUCGGUGUGUAAUCGAAUUAAACCGGUCUCUUCGAAAUAAUAUAAAUGUAGAGAUAGAAUGAGAGAGAGAGAGAGAGAGAGAGAGAGAGCGAAAGUUCGACUAAUCUUUUGGGAAUCUGAAUUGUACUAGAGAAUUAAAAAGGGUCGAUAAAGUGAGCUUUGUACGCUUUCUACAAAAAUAUCGACGAUCCUCCUGGAUAUCCUUUUUUUGCAGGAAGGAAAUCAAAUAGAUCGAACGAAACAAAAAAAAAAAAAAAAAAAAGGAGAGAACAUAAACGCGAGGAAGGUUGUUCUCGUGAACGAGGUAACCGGCGAAAAGAAACUAUUCUGGGAUGUCUCGAACGGUUGUUUUUAUCGCGUUGUUUGACCGGAUUUAGACACGGAUCAGAAACAAGAAUUUUCGUGGAUUCGUCGAUAGAAAGUUUUACGCCCGACGAAUGAACAGAAAAAAAGAGAAGAAAUCGAGAAAAAAGUAAGUUUCGCAACGAAUUAGGAAUUUUUUUCGAGCGAUGAAAGGGAAAGAAGUUACUCUGUAAAGACAAAUAAGAAGACGGAGACAAAACGUGAAACGCGUACGACAUUUUCCCUUUUUGCUAUUCGACGAAAAAGUUUUCCUUCUAUUUAACUGUAUGUAUAUUUUACGUACAAUUGCCUAUCGUAUAAGUACGACUAAGUUAUGCGUAUGUACGAAUACGCUCGAUCAAACGUAUAUACAUAUAAUUGCAAACAGGGACUCGCUGAAAAGCGAAUAUACAAAAAUCGAAUAAAAAUAUUAUUAAUCGUU
Molecule: long non-coding RNA, 3287 nt
Organism: Megachile rotundata (alfalfa leafcutting bee)
Lineage: Eukaryota; Metazoa; Arthropoda; Insecta; Hymenoptera; Megachilidae
Source: RefSeq, a predicted model, not a curated record